AGAGAGAGUUCAAGAGUACGUGAAACCGUUCAGGGGUAAACCUGAGAAACCCAAAAGAUCGAAUGGGGAGAUUCAUCGUCAGCUCAUUUUGUAUAUAUAUUAGUUAUGAUAUGGGUUACUACUUGUAGUAUUGCCUGUACAUUCUUUUAUAUUUAAUUGCAAGAUGUUGUCGGCGUGCACUUCUCCCCUAGUAGGACGUCGCAACCCGUUGAGUGUCGGUUUACGGCUCAAGUUGGUAGCCUUUAAUUUAUUUAUAAAUUAAAGACCCUUGAUGUUUUCUAACUGGCUGCUCGGCGGUAUUCGUAUGGUAUUAGGCCGCAUAUAUAUGCGUUUAUAUCUGUCGCAAGCGCGGUCAAUUUUUGGUAGUACGGACCUAGUGCCGUCGCUAUAAUUGAUCAGCUGUUGGUUGUACGGUAUUCUAUAACUGGCUUAUAAAUAUAUAUACCGGUUUGCGAUGCUACUGCUUUGGGUACUUUCAGGACCCGUCUUGAAACACGGACCAAA
This 504-nucleotide ribosomal RNA is filed under the name Fopius arisanus. RNAcentral describes it as "eukaryotic LSU rRNA". It matches the Rfam family "Eukaryotic large subunit ribosomal RNA", at positions 380 to 670 of the family's 3401-position model. Lineage: Eukaryota; Metazoa; Arthropoda; Insecta; Hymenoptera; Braconidae. The record is from RNAcentral.